RNAcentral lists this ribosomal RNA (437 nucleotides) under uncultured bacterium. RNAcentral's name for it is "partial 16S ribosomal RNA". It matches the Rfam family "Bacterial small subunit ribosomal RNA", at positions 29 to 507 of the family's 1533-position model. The record is from RNAcentral.
AGCGAACGCUGGCGGCAGGCUUAACGCAUGCAAGUCGAGCGGGCAUCCUUGUGGUGUCAGCGGCAGACGGGUGAGUAACGCGUGGGAACGUGCCCUUCGGUUCGGAAUAACUCAGGGAAACUUGAGCUAAUACCGGAUACGUGCGAGAGCAGAAAGGUUUAUCUGCCGAAGGAUCGGCCCGCGUCUGAUUAGCUAGUUGGUGAGGUUACGGCUCACCAAGGCGACGAUCAGUAGCUGGUCUGAGAGGAUGAUCAGCCACACUGGGACUGAGACACGGCCCAGACUCCUACGGGAGGCAGCAGUGGGGAAUAUUGGACAAUGGGGGCAACCCUGAUCCAGCCAUGCCGCGUGAGUGAUGACGGCCUUAGGGUUGUAAAGCUCUUUUCUCCGGGACGAUAAUGACGGUACCGGAGGAAUAAGCCCCGGCUAACUUCGUG